ACAUUGCUGAGGAGUCCCACAAUAGAACGAAAUGAUCGUCCAGUGC
This is a non-coding RNA of Schistosoma rodhaini, 46 nucleotides long. The record is from Rfam. NCBI's taxonomy places the organism in Eukaryota, Metazoa, Platyhelminthes, Trematoda, Strigeidida, Schistosomatidae.